Molecule: small nucleolar RNA, 90 nt
Organism: Scophthalmus maximus (turbot)
Lineage: Eukaryota; Metazoa; Chordata; Actinopteri; Pleuronectiformes; Scophthalmidae
Source: Ensembl
CAUCUGUUGUGAUGUUUUGCACUGGGCUCAGAUAAUCAGUGACGACGGAGGUGCAGCUCUGCCCCUGACAAGGCAGAGUCUGAGCAGAUG